GCCAGAUUUACAAACUCGCUCUCCGCUACACGUUGACAAAUACAGUUCUGUGUGAAAGUGUCAGCACCCUAACUGUAUAUAUGUGCCUAAGACUUUUGCACAGCAGAACGGCGGCAGGGUACGGUCACUGUGGAAGGCCGAUCUCUGGUUGCAUGAGGCGCGUCUUUUCCCGAGCUGCCGAGGCGGAGGCCCUCGGCUGGCUGCGGUCGAUGGUGGAUAUUGCGGCCCAUUUGUCCGUCCAUAUGGAGAGCAGGCUGUUGCCUAUGUAGCCGGUUCCCCCUCUCCCUGCAGUGGAUGAACCCAAAGGAACGCCGGAGGCCGAUACAGUCCGGCACCGGCGGCGUCACAGGAGUUGCCCGGCAGUGUUGAACUCAACACAGGACUGCCUUAGGGACUCCAGCCCUGGAUUUUCCCUCGGGGUUUACUCCCGAAGCCUUCCCCAUGAGUGGGUGUAGCUGCGGAGGUUUGAGAUCAGAGUUUUCCACUUCCGGUCUGUGGGGAGGGAGUCGGGAAUCGUUAUUGUUGCUGUUUUAUUUCUCUGUGGGGGAAGGGUCCGGGAUUGUAUUGUUGCUGUUGUUUUCUGUGGGGAGGGGUUUGGAGUUUAUUAUUGUUGCUGUUAUUUC
Molecule: long non-coding RNA, 623 nt
Organism: Mobula hypostoma (lesser devil ray)
Lineage: Eukaryota; Metazoa; Chordata; Chondrichthyes; Myliobatiformes; Myliobatidae
Exons: 3
Source: RefSeq, a predicted model, not a curated record